UGCCAGCCGCCGCGGUAAUACGGAGGGGGCAAGCGUUGCUCGGAAUUACUGGGCGUAAAGCGAGCGUAGGCGGUUUGUCAAGUUGGUGGUGAGAGCCCGGAGCUUAACUCCGGAACUGCCAUCAAAACUGAUUUACUAGAGAUUGGUAGAGGAAAAUGGAAUUCCUAGUGUAGAGGUGAAAUUCGUAGAUAUUGGGAAGAACACCAGUGGCGAAGGCGAUUUUCUGGGCCAAUUCUGACGCUGAGGUUCGAAAGCGUGGGUAGCAAACAGGAUUAGAUA
This 279-nucleotide ribosomal RNA is filed under the name uncultured bacterium. RNAcentral describes it as "partial 16S ribosomal RNA". It matches the Rfam family "Bacterial small subunit ribosomal RNA", at positions 506 to 784 of the family's 1533-position model. The record is from RNAcentral.